CGGGUGGAUGAGUGGCGAACGGGUGAGUAACACGUGAGUAACCUGCCCCUUCUUUGGGAUAACGCCCGGAAACGGGUGCUAAUACUGGAUAUUCACUGGCCUUCGCAUGGGGGUUGGUGGAAAGGUUUGUUCUGGUGGGGGAUGGGCUCGCGGCCUAUCAGCUUGUUGGUGGGGUGAUGGCCUACCAAGGCUUUGACGGGUAGCCGGCCUGAGAGGGUGACCGGUCACAUUGGGACUGAGAUACGGCCCAG
This 251-nucleotide ribosomal RNA is filed under the name uncultured bacterium. Its description in RNAcentral is "partial 16S ribosomal RNA". It matches the Rfam family "Bacterial small subunit ribosomal RNA", at positions 84 to 334 of the family's 1533-position model. The record is from RNAcentral.